ACCUAACCUCUGACCAUGUUGAGGGAAUGUUGUCCAAGGGCAAAGUUUGAAGAAGGUAUCCAGUCAACAAGCGGUUGGCUCGGUAGCUAACCUCUGCGUUCGCUCUGUGAACUAAAGAGUUAGCUCCGGCGAGCUGGCGGCUCGGCCUGUCCGCUGCCCAGCUGUUCGUUACCGGAACACGGGUGUGCAGGCCGUAGUAACUUCCUUCAGACUCGGCUUGUAGAAACAGCUUCUCUGCCGGGGAUCUCUCUGCGACACAGUUUGCUUCUGUGGGGCUUCAGAGAGAAAGCAUUUCCUGAAUGGAAAGCCCACCCGAGUAUCCCAACCCUGUAGUUGCUCUACAAAUGAUGAACCAGACUAGGGAGCAGCUAGGAGCCAGUCGAAAGCCACCCAAACAUCGUUCAUCUGAGCCACCAUACAGGAAACACCAAAGGCCACUCUGUGGGAUGUUUUCUCAAGGAGAUGCACCACUUGCUGUGAGAAAACCACAAACACUGAGAAAAAGCAAACAUAUUUUUCACCUGACUCUCUUCGUGUGUAUGCCUAAAAUCUGUGCCCUUAUUA
Molecule: long non-coding RNA, 564 nt
Organism: Girardinichthys multiradiatus
Lineage: Eukaryota; Metazoa; Chordata; Actinopteri; Cyprinodontiformes; Goodeidae
Exons: 3
Source: RefSeq, a predicted model, not a curated record